This 468-nucleotide ribosomal RNA is filed under the name uncultured bacterium. RNAcentral's name for it is "partial 16S ribosomal RNA". It matches the Rfam family "Bacterial small subunit ribosomal RNA", at positions 28 to 507 of the family's 1533-position model. The record is from RNAcentral.
GACGAACGCUGGCGGCGUGCUUAACACAUGCAAGUCGAACGGAAAGGCCCUGCUUUUGUGGGGUGCUCGAGUGGCGAACGGGUGAGUAACACGUGAGUAACCUGCCCUUGACUGUGGGAUAACUUCAGGAAACUGGGGCGAAUACCGGAUAGGAGCUCCUGCUGCAUGUGGGGGGUUGGAAAGUGUCGGCGGUGGGGGAUGGACUCGCGGCUUAUGAGCUAGUUGGUGGGGUAGUGGCUUACGAGGGCUUCGACGGGUAGCCGGCCUGAGAGGGUGACCGGCGACAUUGGGACUGAGGUACGGCGCAGAAUGGUACGGGAGGCAGUAGUGGGGAAUCUUGCACAGUGGGCGGAAGUGUGAUGCAGCAACGCCGCGUGCGGAAUGACGGCUUUCUAGUUAUGAACAGCUUUGGCCUGUGAUGAAGCCGGAUUGACGGUAAUGGGUAAAAAAGCCCCGGCUAACUACGUG